Molecule: ribosomal RNA, 497 nt
Filed under: uncultured bacterium
Lineage: Bacteria
Description: partial 16S ribosomal RNA
Rfam family: Bacterial small subunit ribosomal RNA
Source: RNAcentral
GAUGAACGCUGGCGGCGUGCCUAAUACAUGCAAGUCGAGCGAACGGACGAGAAGCUUGCUUCUCUGAUGUUAGCGGCGGACGGGUGAGUAACACGUGGAUAACCUACCUAUAAGACUGGGAUAACUUCGGGAAACCGGAGCUAAUACCGGAUAAUAUUUUGAACCGCAUGGUUCAAAAGUGAAACACGGUCUUCCUGUCACUUAUAGAUGGAUCCGCGCUGCAUUAGCUAGUUGGUAAGGUAACGGCUUACCAAGGCGACGAUGCAUAGCCGACCUGAGAGGGUGAUCGGCCACACUGGAACUGAGACACGGUCCAGACUCCUACGGGAGGCAGCAGUAGGGAAUAUUCCGCAAUGGGCGAAAGCCUGACGGAGCAACGCCGCGUGAGUGAUGAAGGUCUUCGGAUCGUAAAGCUCUGUUAUUAGGGAAGAACAGAUGUGUGAGUAACUGUGGACAUCUUGACGGUACCUAAUCAGAAAGCAACGGCUAACUACGUG